RNAcentral lists this transfer-messenger RNA (375 nucleotides) under Actinocrispum wychmicini. Its description in RNAcentral is "Standard tmRNA". It matches the Rfam family "transfer-messenger RNA". Rfam says of the family: Bacterial tmRNA, also known as 10Sa RNA or SsrA, is named for its dual tRNA and mRNA-like properties. Its role is to liberate the mRNA from a stalled ribosome. Lineage: Bacteria; Bacillati; Actinomycetota; Actinomycetes; Pseudonocardiales; Pseudonocardiaceae. The record is from Rfam by way of RNAcentral.
GGGGGUGAACGGUUUCGACUCUGGACGUUGAGUCAAGGGAAGCGUGCAGGUGCAGGCGAGAGACCACCUCAAGCGUCAUCGCAAACCAAUAAGCGCCAAGACCUCGAGUCAGCGCGAGUUCGCCCUCGCUGCCUGAGCAGCGACGGUGACUCUGUCAGCCCGGGAGUGCCUCCGGCCCGGUUUGCUGGCAUCAGCUAGGAGGCUUACCGCCGGGUCCGGUCGCGGGGCCCGGUUGGGAAGCUCACAGCGACUGGGCUCGUCACGUCGGCAGGUUCACAUGACCGACGGAGCCAAGUAGAGGCAGAGUGAACUGCGCACGGAGAAGCCUUGGCAAGGCGGCAGAGGACCCGGGUUCGAUUCCCGGCACCUCCACUC